GGUCGGUUAGCUCAGUUGGUUAGAGCGUGGUGCUAAUAUCUCCAUCUCACGGUGACUUUGCGGUCAGCAUGAGAGAUUGAAAUAGGCACGCCAAGGUCGCGGGUUCGACCCCCGUACUGACCA
This 123-nucleotide transfer RNA is filed under the name Aureobasidium subglaciale EXF-2481. It matches the Rfam family "tRNA". Rfam says of the family: Transfer RNA (tRNA) molecules are approximately 80 nucleotides in length. Their secondary structure includes four short double-helical elements and three loops (D, anti-codon, and T loops). Lineage: Eukaryota; Fungi; Ascomycota; Dothideomycetes; Dothideales; Saccotheciaceae. The record is from Rfam by way of RNAcentral.